This 253-nucleotide ribosomal RNA is filed under the name uncultured bacterium. RNAcentral's name for it is "partial 16S ribosomal RNA". It matches the Rfam family "Bacterial small subunit ribosomal RNA", at positions 524 to 776 of the family's 1533-position model. The record is from RNAcentral.
UACGUAGGGAGCAAGCGUUGUCCGGAAUCAUUGGGCGUAAAGCGCGCGUAGGCGGCCUUGUAAGUCCGUUGUGAAAGUCAAAGGCUCAACCUUUGAAAGCCGAUGGAUACUGUGAGGCUAGAGUCCGGAAGAGGCGAGUGGAAUUCCUGGUGUAGCGGUGAAAUGCGCAGAUAUCAGGAGGAACACCAAUGGCGAAGGCAGCUCGCUGGAACGGUACUGACGCUGAGGCGCGAAAGCGUGGGGAGCGAACAGG